CCGGAUGCCGCUGGGGAAUAGUACUCCCUGUAAGGUAAGCUGCCGCUGGGGAAUAGUACUGACUGUCCCUACUCCCAGUACCUCCGUCUGUGAUUGGGGAUCUGGGCCGGCUGCCCAGCAUCCCUGUAGGGCCGGUGCAGAGACCUCGGUCCAUUCUCGACCUGCUGACUGGGGGUUGUUGUUGCUGGGGGGGUUCGAAGACAAAUUGGAGAUGCUGGGGUUAUAUGUAUAUGUACAUGUUGGAAUCAUGUUAAUUUUUCUAUUUUCUGAUAGCCUCCAAAAGAAUUUAAAGUAUGGAAGACAAAUGCAGUCCCUCCACCUGAGUCAUAUGAGACAGAAGACAAGAAGGCUCCCCCUCCUGAGAUGGAUAUGGCCAUCAAGUGGUCCAGUAUGUACCAAGAUAAUGGGGAUGACGCACCUCACAUCACAAGCUCAGCAAGGUUUCUACCAGAGGAAGAAUCUCAGGAGAAUGCCAGCGCGUCUGGUAAGCAGCAUGGAC
This is a non-coding RNA of Pelobates cultripes (western spadefoot toad), 499 nucleotides long. The record is from the annotation of a GenBank genome assembly. Lineage: Eukaryota; Metazoa; Chordata; Amphibia; Anura; Pelobatidae.